RNAcentral lists this ribosomal RNA (395 nucleotides) under uncultured bacterium. RNAcentral describes it as "bacterial SSU rRNA". It matches the Rfam family "Bacterial small subunit ribosomal RNA", at positions 955 to 1350 of the family's 1533-position model. The record is from RNAcentral.
AGGAACGCGAAGAACCUUACCAGGUCUUGACAUCCUUUGAAGCUUUUAGAGAUAGAAGUGUUCUCUUCGGAGACAAAGUGACAGGUGGUGCAUGGUCGUCGUCAGCUCGUGUCGUGAGAUGUUGGGUUAAGUCCCGCAACGAGCGCAACCCUUAUUGUUAGUUGCCAGCAUUCAGUUGGGCACUCUAGCGAGACUGCCGGUGACAAACCGGAGGAAGGCGGGGACGACGUCAGAUCAUCAUGCCCCUUAUGACCUGGGCUACACACGUGCUACAAUGGCGUAUACAACGAGUUGCCAACCUGCGAAGGUGAGCUAAUCUCUUAAAGUACGUCUCAGUUCGGACUGCAGUCUGCAACUCGACUGCACGAAGUCGGAAUCGCUAGUAAUCGCGGAUC